AGUCGAGAAUAGUCUACAAUGGCCGGAAGGCUGAUAGUGCGACGCCGCGUGAACGAGGGAGCCCUUCGGGGUGUAAAGUUCUUUUCUAUACGAGCAGUGCUAUAUAUAUGGAUAGUAUAUAUAGAGGGAUAGUAGUAUAGGAAUAAGCAACGGCUAACUCCGUGCCAGCAGCCGCGGUAACACGGGGGUUGCGAGCGUUGUCCGGAAUUACUAGGCGUAAAGGGCAGGUAGGCGGAUCUACGAGUUUUUUGUUAAAGGCUACGGCUCAACUGUAGUAGAGCAGGAGAUACUGUAGGUCUGGAAUGCGGUAGGGGAAGACAGAAUUCCUGGUGUAGCGGUGGAAUGCGCAGAGAUCAGGAGGAAUACCGAAGGCGAAGGCAGUCUUCUAGGCCGUAAUUGACGCUUAACUGCGAAGGUGUGGGGAUCAAACAGGAUUAGAUACCCUGGUAGUCCACACAGUAAACGAUAAUCACUAGAUGUCGGGUUCUAGAUGGAUUCGGUGUCGGAGCUAACGCGAUAAGUGAUUCGCCUGGGGAGUACGAUCGCAAGGUUGAAACUCAAAGGAAUUGACGGGGGCCCGCACAAGCGGUGGAGCAUGUGGUUUAAUUCGAGGCAACGCGAAGAACCUUACCCGGUUUUGACAUCCACGGGAGGCUUCAGAGAUGGAGCUGUGCCGGCGUAAGCUGGAGCCGUGAGACAGGUGCUGCAUGGCUGUCGUCAGCUCGUGUCGUGAGAUGUUGGGUUAAGUCCCGCAACGAGCGCAACCCUUGCCUUCAGUUACCAUCAUUAAGUUGGGGACUCUGGAGGGACCGCUGCGGUAACAACGCAGAGGAAGAUGGGGACGACGUCAAGUCAUCAUGGUCCUUAUGGCCGGGGCUACACACGUGCUACAAUGGCAGUUACAGAGGGAUGCGAUUCAGUAAUGAGGAGCGAAACUCAGAAAAGCUGCCGCAGUUCGGAUUGAGGUCUGCAACUCGGCCUCAUGAAGUCGGAAUCGCUAGUAAUCGCGCAACAUCAUGGCGCGGUGAAUACGUUCCCGGGCCUUGUACACACCGCCCGUCAAGUCAGCCGAGUGGAGUGCACCCGAAGGAGGUGAGCUAACCCGCAAGGGAGGCAGCUUUCGAAGGUGUGCUUCGCGAGGAGGACU
RNAcentral lists this ribosomal RNA (1147 nucleotides) under uncultured bacterium. RNAcentral's name for it is "bacterial SSU rRNA". It matches the Rfam family "Bacterial small subunit ribosomal RNA", at positions 353 to 1482 of the family's 1533-position model. The record is from RNAcentral.